GAUUUCUGGUACGAUGCGCCUGGCCCGCCGGCGUAAGCCGUGUGAGUGCCGGUGUGCGUCUGCCAUCCUUCCAGAGAACUACUCUGCCCUUCAUUGGUGUUGGAGUAGCCAUCUGGAUCUUUUACUUUGAAAAAAUUAGAGUGUUUAAAGCAGGCUUGCGCUAUGAAUACAUUAGCAUGGAAUAAUAAUCUAGGACUUCGGUUCUAUUUUGUUGGUUUCUAUAACUGAAGUAAUGAUUGAUAGGGAUAGUUGGGGGUGCUAGUAUUGGCCGGCCAGAGGUGAAAUUCUUGGAUUCGGUCAAGACUAACUUAUGCGAAAGCAUU
Molecule: ribosomal RNA, 323 nt
Filed under: Protaspa sp.
Lineage: Eukaryota; Cercozoa; Thecofilosea; Cryomonadida; Protaspidae
Description: SSU rRNA
Rfam family: Eukaryotic small subunit ribosomal RNA (bases 80-323)
Source: RNAcentral